RNAcentral lists this ribosomal RNA (497 nucleotides) under uncultured bacterium. RNAcentral describes it as "partial 16S ribosomal RNA". It matches the Rfam family "Bacterial small subunit ribosomal RNA", at positions 28 to 507 of the family's 1533-position model. The record is from RNAcentral.
GACGAACGCUGGCGGCGUGCCUAAUACAUGCAAGUUGAGCGCUGAAGGUUGGUACUUGUACCAACUGGAUGAGCAGCGAACGGGUGAGUAACGCGUGGGGAAUCUGCCUUUGAGCAGGGGACAACAUUUGGAAACGAAUGCUAAUACCGCAUAAAAACUUUAAACACAAGUUUUAAGUUUGAAAGAUGCAAUUGCAUCACUCAAAGAUGAUCCCGCGUUGUAUUAGCUAGUUGGUGAGGUAAAGGCUCACCAAGGCGAUGAUACAUAGCCGACCUGAGAGGGUGAUCGGCCACAAUGGGACUGAGACACGGCCCAAACCCCUACGGGAGGCAGCAGUAGGGAAUCUUCGGCAAUGGACGAAAGUCUGACCGAGCAACGCCGCGGGAGUGAAGAAGGUUUUCGGAUCGUAAAACUCUGUUGGUAGAGAAGAACGUUGGUGAGAGUGGAAAGCUCACCAAGUGACGGUAACUACCCAGAAAGGGACGGCUAACUACGUG